This is a small nucleolar RNA of Cavia porcellus (domestic guinea pig), 107 nucleotides long. The record is from Ensembl. NCBI's taxonomy places the organism in Eukaryota, Metazoa, Chordata, Mammalia, Rodentia, Caviidae.
CAGGCCCUGAAUCAAGGCUGGCAGCCUAAAGAGAUGUCUUUCUAUGGUCUGUUGGCCAUUUGAGAACUUGGGCAGUGAAAUGGUCAAUUCAUUAGAAAGAAACAGCU